Molecule: ribosomal RNA, 263 nt
Filed under: eukaryote SCGC AAA074-P13
Lineage: Eukaryota
Description: partial 18S ribosomal RNA
Rfam family: Eukaryotic small subunit ribosomal RNA
Source: RNAcentral
CGUGCGAUAUUUUGACCUAUCAGCUAUCGUUAGAAGGGUAGUGUCCUUUUAAGGCUGUGACGGGUAACGGGGAAUUAGGGUUUGAUUCCGGAGAGGGAGCCUUAGAGACAGCUACCACAUCUAAGGAUGGCAGCAGGCGCGCAAAUUACCCAAUCCCGAUACGGGGAGGUAGUGACAGAAAAUAUCAACACUUGAUUUUCAAGUGAUUGAAAUGAGUGGACAUUAGAAAAAUGUGCGAGUAUCAAUUGGAGGGCAAGUCUGGU